GUGGCGAACGGGUGAGUAACACGUAGAUAAUCUGCCUUUCAGACGGGGACAACUCAGGGAAACUUGUGCUAAUACCCGAUGAGACCACAAGAAGGGAUUUUAGUGGCCAAAGGCGGGCGAAAGCUCGUGCUGAAAGAUGAGUCUGCGUCCUAUCAGCUAGUUGGUGGGGUAAAUGCCUACCAAGGCUAAGACGGGUAGCCGGCCUGAGAGGGUGAACGGCCACACUGGGACUGAGACACGGCCCAGACUCCUACGGGAGGCAGCAGUGAGGAAUUUUCCGCAAUGGGCGCAAGCCUGACGGAGCGACGCCGCGUGAGGGAUGACAGCUUUCGGGUUGUAAACCUCUUUUAUUAAGGAAAAAGAUCUAUAUGCUAAUAUCAUGUAGAUUUGAUGGUACUUAUUGAAUAAGCCCCGGCUAACUACGUGCCAGCAGCCGCGGUAAUACGUAGGGGGCGAGCGUUGUCCAGAGUUACUGGGCGUAAAGAGCGUGUAGGCGGUUGAAAAAGUCAGGUGUGAAAUUCUUCG
RNAcentral lists this ribosomal RNA (525 nucleotides) under uncultured bacterium. RNAcentral's name for it is "bacterial SSU rRNA". It matches the Rfam family "Bacterial small subunit ribosomal RNA", at positions 95 to 606 of the family's 1533-position model. The record is from RNAcentral.